UGUCCUCCAUAGGAGGUCUAUAUUGAGAAGAUUCUUUUUGGUAUUGGGUGGUGGAACCGGAGCGUGCUCCAUCCACUCCAUGCAUUGACCUGAUAUUGCAGUGCUUCCAGGACCGGUGC
RNAcentral lists this small nuclear RNA (119 nucleotides) under Crocodylus porosus (Australian saltwater crocodile). RNAcentral's name for it is "U2 spliceosomal RNA (ENSCPRG00005002084.1)". It matches the Rfam family "U2 spliceosomal RNA", at positions 67 to 185 of the family's 192-position model. From Rfam's summary of the family: U2 is a small nuclear RNA (snRNA) component of the spliceosome (involved in pre-mRNA splicing). Complementary binding between U2 snRNA (in an area lying towards the 5' end but 3' to hairpin I) and the branchpoint sequence (BPS) of the intron results the bulging out of an unpaired adenosine, on the BPS, which initiates a nucleophilic attack at the intronic 5' splice site, thus starting the first of two transesterification reactions that mediate splicing. Lineage: Eukaryota; Metazoa; Chordata; Crocodylia; Crocodylidae. The record is from RNAcentral.